Molecule: ribosomal RNA, 1434 nt
Filed under: Triticum aestivum (bread wheat)
Lineage: Eukaryota; Viridiplantae; Streptophyta; Magnoliopsida; Poales; Poaceae
Description: partial small subunit ribosomal RNA
Source: RNAcentral
AUGUCCAAGUGCAGCUUUGCAGUGCAAAAAGUGGAGUAUCUGGGACAUGUGAUUUUUGAGAAGGGAGUAGCUACUGAUCCACAAAAGAUUGCAGCAAUUGCUGAUUGGCCAACUCCCAACACAGUCACAAAGCUGAGAAGUUUCUUGGGCCUGGCUGGGUAUUAUAAAAGGUUUAUUAAAGAUUAUGGCCUUAUUUGUAGGCCACUACAUGACCUUCUAAAGAAAGGACAGUUCCUAUGGACCCCAGUGCAUGACAAGGCCUUCUGUACACUCAAACAAGCCUUAACUACAGCACCAGUCCUGGCACUACCAAAUUUCAGUCAACCAUUUGUACUAGAAACUGAUGCAUCAGGAAAGGGCAUUGGGGCAGUUCUCAUGCAGGGAGGAAGACCCUUGUCCUACUACAGCUCUGCUCUUUGUCCAAGAAAUGAAGCUCUCUCUAAUUAUGAAAAAGAAGCUCUAGCUAUUUUGGAAGCAUUAAAGAGGUGGAGACACUAUUUACUGGGCAAUGAGCUGGUGAUCAAAACUGAUCAACAAUCCUUAAAGUUUAUCACAGAUCAGAGAAUAACAGAGGGAGUACAACACAAGUUGAUGAUGAAACUCUUAGAAUUCAAUUUCACCAUUCAGUACAAGAAAGGAGUGCAAAACAAAGUUGCUGAUGCUUUAUCUAGACUAUUGCCCAGUUGUUUCACCCUAUCUGCUGUGACUCCUACAUGGGCAGAAGAUCUAGUAGGGAGUUAUCAGGAAGAUCCACACUCUCAACAGUUGCUAGAGAAAUUGUUAGUGCAAAAGCAGGAUAACUCUUCUGAUUACAGCCUACAUUCUGGGAUAAUUAGAUUCAAGGGUAAACUAUGGGUGGGCAAGUCGGCAGAGCUGAGAAAUAAACUACUGACUGCACUACAAAAUUCCCCUAUUGGAGGCCACUCAGGAGUGAGAGCUACUUAUAACAGAGUGACGAACAUUUUUUUCUGGCCAGGACUGAAACAGGAUGUAGAGACUUUUAUUGCAGCAUGUCCUAUUUGCCAAAGAGCAAAACAUGAGAACUGCUUGCAACCUGGCCUGCUGGACCCCCUCCCUGUUGCAGACAUGGCUUGGCAACACAUCUCACUGGACUUUGUGGAAGGCCUACCAAAAUCCCAGGGCAAGGAUGUUAUUAUGGUUGUGGUCGAUAGAUUCACGAAGUACAGUCAUUUCAUUCCCCUGUCCCACCCAUAUUCAGUUCUCUCGGUGGCUCAAAAGUUUGUCGACAACAUCAUAAGAUUACAUGGCCCUCCUAAACUUAUUGUCUCUGAUAGAGAUAGAAUUUUCACGAGCAAACUAUGGAAAGACAUUUUUACUGCCCUCAAGGUGGAACUGAGAUUUAGCACGGCCUACCAUCCUCAAACUGAUGGCCAGACAGAGCGGGUGAACCAGUGUUUAGAAACUUAUUUGUGA